RNAcentral lists this ribosomal RNA (275 nucleotides) under Escherichia coli. RNAcentral's name for it is "partial 23S ribosomal RNA". It matches the Rfam family "Bacterial large subunit ribosomal RNA", at positions 1125 to 1398 of the family's 2925-position model. The record is from RNAcentral. Lineage: Bacteria; Pseudomonadati; Pseudomonadota; Gammaproteobacteria; Enterobacterales; Enterobacteriaceae.
AAAGAAAGCGUAAUAGCUCACUGGUCGAGUCGGCCUGCGCGGAAGAUGUAACGGGGCUAAACCAUGCACCGAAGCUGCGGCAGCGACGCUUAUGCGUUGUUGGGUAGGGGAGCGUUCUGUAAGCCUGUGAAGGUGUACUGUGAGGUAUGCUGGAGGUAUCAGAAGUGCGAAUGCUGACAUAAGUAACGAUAAAGCGGGUGAAAAGCCCGCUCGCCGGAAGACCAAGGGUUCCUGUCCAACGUUAAUCGGGGCAGGGUGAGUCGACCCCUAAGGCG